RNAcentral lists this small RNA (28 nucleotides) under Bombyx mori (domestic silkworm). RNAcentral's name for it is "ovarian small RNA-27181". Lineage: Eukaryota; Metazoa; Arthropoda; Insecta; Lepidoptera; Bombycidae. The record is from RNAcentral.
UCCCAGUGCAGUUUGUCGAUGCACUCCC